AACGAACGCUGGCGGCAUGCCUAACACAUGCAAGUCGAACGAAGGCUUCGGCCUUAUUGUCUCACGGUUGCGUAACGCGUGGGAAUCUGCCCUUGGGGUCGGAAUAACAACUGGAAACGGCUGCUAAUACCGGAUGAUGACGAAAGUCCAAAGAUUUAUCGCCAGAGGAUGAUCCCGCGUUGGAUUAGGUAGUUGGUUGGGUAAAGGCCUACCAAGCCGACGAUCCAUAGCUGGUCUGAGAGGAUGAUCAGCCACACUGAGACUGAGACACGGCCCAGACUCCUACGGGAGGCAGCAGUGGGGAAUAUUGGACAAUGGGCGCAAGCCUGAUGCAGCAAUGCCGCGUGAGUGAUGAAGGCCCUAGGGUUGUAAAGCUCUAUUACCUGGGAAGAUAAUGACGGUACCGGGAGAGUAAGCCACGGCUAACUCCGUG
This 433-nucleotide ribosomal RNA is filed under the name uncultured bacterium. RNAcentral's name for it is "partial 16S ribosomal RNA". It matches the Rfam family "Bacterial small subunit ribosomal RNA", at positions 29 to 507 of the family's 1533-position model. The record is from RNAcentral.